GACAGAGGUCCCGAGCGUUAGGCGGAAUCACUGGGCUUAAAGCGUGUGUAGGCGGACUUCUAAGUACCUUGUGAAAUCCCACGGCUUAACCGUGGAGCUGCUUGGUAUACUGGUUGUCUUGGGCCAUCUAGGGGCUACUGGAACAAACGGUGGAGCGGUGAAAUGCGUAGAUAUCGUUUGGAACGCCAAUGGUGAAAACAAGUAGCUGGGGAUGUGCCGACGCUGAGACACGAAAGCCAGGGGAGCGAACGGG
This 253-nucleotide ribosomal RNA is filed under the name uncultured bacterium. Its description in RNAcentral is "partial 16S ribosomal RNA". It matches the Rfam family "Bacterial small subunit ribosomal RNA", at positions 524 to 776 of the family's 1533-position model. The record is from RNAcentral.